AAGUUGUUGCAGUUAAAAAGCUCGUAGUUGGAUUUCUGGGAGGGUGCCAAUGUCCGCCGACGCGCGUGCGCAGCGGCGCCCUUCCAUCCUUCUGUUAACGCCUCUUGGCAUUCACUUGCUGGUGGCGGGCUCAGAUAUUUUACCUUGAGAAAAUUAGAGUGUUUCAGGCAGGCUAGGCCGGAAUACAUUAGCAUGGAAUAAUGGAAUAGGACUACGGUCUCUUUGUUGGUUUGAGGGACUGCAGUAAUGAUUAAUAGGGAUAGUUGGGGGCAUUAGUAUUUAAUUGUCAGAGGUGGAAUUCUCGGAUUUGUUAAAGACUAACUUAUGCGAAAGCAUUUGCCAAGGAUGUUUUCAUUAAUCA
RNAcentral lists this ribosomal RNA (361 nucleotides) under uncultured marine eukaryote. Its description in RNAcentral is "SSU rRNA". It matches the Rfam family "Eukaryotic small subunit ribosomal RNA", at positions 607 to 979 of the family's 1831-position model. The record is from RNAcentral.